GGUCUGAUAGUACAAUUGGAUAGUGCAUCUGCGGUACAUAUUUAAGUCCGUAAAAAUUCAGCAGAAAAUCCCUGUUCGAUUCGGGGUCAAGUCA
Non-coding RNA from Mycena rosella, 94 nucleotides. The record is from the annotation of a GenBank genome assembly. NCBI's taxonomy places the organism in Eukaryota, Fungi, Basidiomycota, Agaricomycetes, Agaricales, Mycenaceae.